GACGAACGCUGGCGGCGUGCUUAACACAUGCAAGUCGAACGAAGUGGCGAACGGGUGAGUAACGCGUAAUCAACCUGCCCUUCAGAGGGUGACAACAGUUGGAAACGACUGCUAAUACCGCAUACUGAAGGAGGGGAUUGUGUCUGAUUAGCUAGUUGGAGGGGUAACGGCCCACCAAGGCGAUGAUCAGUAGCCGGUCGGGGAGGAUGAACGGCCACAUUGGGACUGGGAGACGGCCCAGACCCCUAAGGGAGGCAGCAAUGGGGAAUCUUCCGAAAUGGAGGAAAGUCUGGAGGAGGAAAGCCGCGUGAGUGAUGACGGCCCUCGGGUUGUAAAGGUAUGUUAAUCGGGACGCGGUACCGGAAUAGAAAGCCACGGCUAACUACGUGCCAGCAGCCGCGGUAAUAC
Molecule: ribosomal RNA, 408 nt
Filed under: uncultured bacterium
Lineage: Bacteria
Description: partial 16S ribosomal RNA
Rfam family: Bacterial small subunit ribosomal RNA
Source: RNAcentral